This 721-nucleotide long non-coding RNA is filed under the name Gallus gallus (chicken). The record is from RNAcentral. Lineage: Eukaryota; Metazoa; Chordata; Aves; Galliformes; Phasianidae.
CGCAGGGAAACGCCGUUCCGGCGGGAAAUGCCGCUCCGCCGGCAGCCGCCGCACGGCCUGCUGGGAACUGCAGUCCGGCGGCGGGACCGUGAGGCGAGGGAGGGCGCGGCUCCGGCCUCGGAGCGGGGGCACAGAUAAGGGCCACCACACGUCAAAGGGAGACGCUGACAUGAAGGAGUCCUCCAACAGUUUAUUUCUCUUUGACAACCGUACAGGUGGGAACGAGCCCCGCCACCUCCCAGCACUCAGACUGGACAUCUUUGGUACAGAGACACAGGACAACUUCAUGGGAAAGCUGGCAAGACAGAAUAGCACAAGGGGCCAUCUCAAGAAGGCUUUCUGAACUUUCCAUCUGUCACAAGCACGGUUUCACCUGACUUACUCCUGUAACUAUCAUGAAGCUAACGUGAAAGUAUAAGCAAGAUACGUUUACUGACAUGCAGUGGUACAUGAAGUCCAAAAGGCAUUAAAAUAAGAAUACCAAUUAAGAAAUCUUCCAAAGAAGAAGACACUCCUGCUGGACACUGCGUAUACCUGCUGUGAAAGGCAAGGUCUGCCCUCAGGAAUGUAUCUUUUAAAUUAAAAAGAAAGGAAAGGACAGACAAGGGAAAGUAUUACAACAGGAGGCACAGUCCAUAGCAUGCAAACAUUCCCACAGACAGUCUGCAAUAAAACACAAGAUUGUUUCCAAGUCUGCCAUUUGCCAUUUCAUUGAAUUUAG